GCAAGUCGAACGGAAAGGCCCCUUCGGGGGUGCUCGAGUGGCGAACGGGUGAGUAACACGUGGGUGAUCUGCCCUGCACUUCGGGAUAAGCUUGGGAAACUGGGUCUAAUACCGGAUAGGACCAUGGCCUGCAUGGGUUGUGGUGGAAAGUUUUUAACGGUGUGGGAUGGGCCCGCGGCCUAUCAGCUUGUUGGUGGGGUGAUGGCCUACCAAGGCGACGACGGGUAGCCGGCCUGAGAGGGUGUCCGGCCACACUGGGACUGAGAUACGGCCCAGACUCCUACGGGAGGCAGCAGUGGGGAAUAUUGCACAAUGGGCGCAAGCCUGAUGCAGCGACGCCGCGUGGGGGAUGACGGCCUUCGGGUUGUAAACCUCUUUCACCAUCGACGAAGGCCCGGUUUCGGCUGGGUUGACGGUAGGUGGAGAAGAAGCACCGGCCAACUACGUGCCAGCAGCCGCGGUAAUACGUAGGGUGCGAGCGUUGUCCGGAAUUACUGGGCGUAAAGAGCUCGUAGGUGGUUUGUCGCGUUGUUCGUGAAAUUCCCUGGCUUAACUGGGGGCGUGCGGGCGAUACGGGCAGACUGGAGUACUGCAGGGGAGACUGGAAUUCCUGGUGUAGCGGUGGAAUGC
RNAcentral lists this ribosomal RNA (630 nucleotides) under uncultured Actinomycetes bacterium. RNAcentral describes it as "bacterial SSU rRNA". It matches the Rfam family "Bacterial small subunit ribosomal RNA", at positions 57 to 689 of the family's 1533-position model. Lineage: Bacteria; Bacillati; Actinomycetota; Actinomycetes. The record is from RNAcentral.